GGGGGUGACUUUGGCUUCGACGGGGUUGAAGAGGCAAUGAACUGCGCAUCGUGUUCCUCCGGAGUACACGUUAAACAACCGGAAAAAAACAAUAACUGGCGAAUAUAAUUACGCCUUAGCUGCUUAAUUUAAUUUAACAGCCGUUCACUAAUUUUUUUCGUACUGGGAAUUAGAUGAACGUCGUUUAAGUACGAUAGCCUAAUCUACCGCUCUUGUAGAUAAAGCGAAUCCGCCUUUGGCGGUUAAUGAGCAGGCUUAAAGUGACCCUUGUCUGUUUGGUAGCUUUAAGCUAAAAUAAAAAUAGACUAUGUGUGUAGACGUUUAUUGGAUCUUAACUUCGGACGCGGGUUCGAUUCCCGCCACCUCCACUC
RNAcentral lists this transfer-messenger RNA (371 nucleotides) under Ignavibacteriaceae. RNAcentral describes it as "GCA-002790365 sp011052365 Standard tmRNA". It matches the Rfam family "transfer-messenger RNA". Rfam says of the family: Bacterial tmRNA, also known as 10Sa RNA or SsrA, is named for its dual tRNA and mRNA-like properties. Its role is to liberate the mRNA from a stalled ribosome. RNAcentral also lists the same sequence under 1 other name. Lineage: Bacteria; Pseudomonadati; Ignavibacteriota; Ignavibacteria; Ignavibacteriales. The record is from RNAcentral.